UCUCUCUCUUUAAAUAUCUUGUUGCACUGUACUCACCCUUCUCCUUGUGAUGAUGUAAGAUGAUACAAUGCCUAUGUGAUGUGAUAAAGUGCAGUGAAUUAUGUAGGCAUUGUGACGUAGUGUUAAGCAACUAUUGACCUUCUGACAACUGGUCAGGAGGAUCAUCUGAUUCCAGACCAUGGUUGAUAACAGAUAACUGCAGGUAACUGCAGGAAGGAAAGCACAGCUUUGACCCAAGGGUGGACUGAAUUGGGAAACUCCAUUGUGAGCACACACAGCAAAAUUUCAAGAAAACCUAUCUUUCUUGCAAAAGAUCAGCAGAGGCCCCUUCUCAGCCUUUCCCCAAGUCCAGCUAUAAUCACAGAGCUGUAUUGUUAUGGUGGAGGUAAGAGGAGCCUCAUCACAUGGAACUACAUGGCAGUUCAAGAGGACCUCAUCUGAAAGAACUCUGUAUUACAUUCUAUCCAGAAGAACCAGAAAAAGAGCCUCUUGGAGCCAGACUAUGGAGAAAUCCUGGUGAGGACAGAGCUGGGGGAGAUCAUUUACUGCUGUGUAUGAAUCAAUACAAGUCUCAGACUCACCUCUAAACUGUACAUAUGUGAAACAUAACCAAAGAAGUGAAUCAAAGGUUUUAAAAACUGAACAUGUGUAUAACCCACUGCCAAGCCUCAACUAACCUGGGUGGCAUAUGCAAAGGGCAGACCCCAAACAGCAUAACAAAUGCUUUGAAAAAUGAACACUCACCCACAAAACUCAACAGUUUGAACCUAACUAAACCAUUGCUUCUCAAACACACACACACACACACACACACACACACACACACACACACAGUGAUUCCCCUUAAAACAAAACAAGACAGUAUCUGAAGUAUUUUAGCAGAAUUCCAAAAUCGUAUAAAAAUGAAAUUGUAAAGGAUAUAAUCCAAAAUUACGAAACAUGUAAAGAACCAGAAAAUCUCACCAAAUUUCAAGGGAAAAUAUAAUCAACAGAUUCUACAAUGACCAGAUAUUAAAAUUACCAGACAAGACAUUAAAGCAGCUAUUUCAGCCAUGCCUAAGACAUGUUGUGGGUUUGGUUUUAGACCUCUGCAAU
Long non-coding RNA from Acinonyx jubatus (cheetah), 1095 nucleotides. RefSeq lists it as uncharacterized. The transcript has 3 exons. The record is from RefSeq and is a predicted model, not a curated record. Lineage: Eukaryota; Metazoa; Chordata; Mammalia; Carnivora; Felidae.